CUUCUCUUCUAGUGUAGGUUCUCCCAGCGUGUUUGGGUUGAGGUUGAUACGUGGAUUGGCCUACAUGGUGAUGUGGUGAGGAGCUGGAGAUUUGAGGCUUCAGUUCAAGAUUGGUGGAUUAAAAAUGUGAUUGAGCGCGGAAACCAGAGAAAGGCUAUCACCUCCUUAUUCAUGCUUAUGUCUUGGGAGAUUUGGAAAGAGCGCAACGCAAGGGUCUUUCGCAACACUGCCGCUACAACGAUGAUGGUCGUCGCGAAGAUCAAAGAGGAGGCCCAUAUUUGGGCUAUGGCAGGUGCCACCCACUUGAGUAUUGUAAUGCCGCGAGAGUAG
Molecule: ribosomal RNA, 330 nt
Filed under: Triticum aestivum (bread wheat)
Lineage: Eukaryota; Viridiplantae; Streptophyta; Magnoliopsida; Poales; Poaceae
Description: partial small subunit ribosomal RNA
Source: RNAcentral